RNAcentral lists this long non-coding RNA (262 nucleotides) under Marmota monax (woodchuck). The record is from RNAcentral. Lineage: Eukaryota; Metazoa; Chordata; Mammalia; Rodentia; Sciuridae.
AGGUGAGGCAAAGAACCUCACCCUCCCACUGGUGCAAAGGCCUAAUUCUUCUCCCCUUCUGAGAGAGGUCUCCUGCCCCAUGGCUGCUUUGCUCCCCACAUCCAGCUCAGAUCAGAACCCUAGUGACAGAGACCUAGUCUGUGGGAAGCCAUUCUCGCACGUGAUUGGGCACCUCCAGAAUUGGGUGUGAGGCGCUCUGCUAAACUGUGUUGGAGCUUUCCCCACCCUCUCCAGGUGUGAGAGCCUGUCCGUGUGGGGGUGU